RNAcentral lists this ribosomal RNA (249 nucleotides) under uncultured prokaryote. Its description in RNAcentral is "partial 16S ribosomal RNA". It matches the Rfam family "Bacterial small subunit ribosomal RNA", at positions 524 to 772 of the family's 1533-position model. The record is from RNAcentral.
UACGGAGGAUGCAAGCGUUAUCCGGAUUUAUUGGGUUUAAAGGGUGCGCAGGUUGUUUGAUAAGUCAGUGGUGAAAGUCUGUCGCUUAACGGUAGGAUUGCCAUUGAUACUGUUGGACUUGAAUAUGGAUGAGGUAGGCGGAAUGUGUAGUGUAGCGGUGAGAUGCAUAGAUAUUACACAGAACACCGAUUGCGAAGGCAGCUUACUAAUCCAUCAUUGACGCUGAGGCACGAAAGCGUGGGGAUCAAA